Molecule: long non-coding RNA, 411 nt
Organism: Mastomys coucha (southern multimammate mouse)
Lineage: Eukaryota; Metazoa; Chordata; Mammalia; Rodentia; Muridae
Exons: 2
Source: RefSeq, a predicted model, not a curated record
UUAAUGGUGGGGCAGGUUGGGGUGAGAAGAGGAACCCCGGGGAAAGGACUAGAUGGGCUUGGGAGCCCACAGUCUCACCUGCCUCCACUCUCUCUGAGGCACACUUGGAAAAUGCUCCUCAGGAAUGCCUGUGUGGUUCUUCAGCCUGUGCGGGGUCACCCACCAACCCCCCACGAUCUCACAGGAUGAAGGCAAACACAAAGAACUCUGCUGGACCAGGCACCAGCACGGAACGCGGUGGGCAUGUAACUUUUGCCAUCGGAUGCUAUCCCCAUUUGGAGUAGAAACCAUAACCUUUCACUUUUUGAGUGUUUAUAACAAAACCUGAAGGAUGCAGAUAAUGAGGCGAAGAAAACCAACACAUCUACAGUCACAGUGGAUGGGUAACUUCCACAAGUAACUUUCAUUCGG